RNAcentral lists this ribosomal RNA (455 nucleotides) under Streptococcus equi. RNAcentral's name for it is "bacterial SSU rRNA". It matches the Rfam family "Bacterial small subunit ribosomal RNA", at positions 1084 to 1533 of the family's 1533-position model. The record is from RNAcentral. Lineage: Bacteria; Bacillati; Bacillota; Bacilli; Lactobacillales; Streptococcaceae.
GUCCCGCAACGAGCGCAACCCUUAAGCUUAGUUGCCAUCAUUAAGUUGGGCACUCUAAGUUGACUGCCGGUGACAAACCGGAGGAAGGUGGGGAUGACGUCAAAUCAUCAUGCCCCUUAUGAUUUGGGCUACACACGUGCUACAAUGGACAAUACAAAGGGUAGCGAAACCGCGAGGUCAAGCAAAUCCCAUAAAGUUGUUCUCAGUUCGGAUUGUAGUCUGCAACUCGACUACAUGAAGCUGGAAUCGCUAGUAAUCGUAGAUCAGCAUGCUACGGUGAAUACGUUCCCGGGUCUUGUACACACCGCCCGUCACACCACGAGAGUUUGUAACACCCGAAGCCGGUGGAGUAACCAUUUGGAGCUAGCCGUCGAAGGUGGGACAAAUGAUUGGGGUGAAGUCGUAACAAGGUAGCCGUAUCGGAAGGUGCGGCUGGAUCACCUCCUUUCUAAGGA